GACAUGUGUUGAAAAACUGAUUCCACUCUCCGGUUUCGUUCUACUGAUGUUGUCUGCUAUCGACUUCUUUUUCGCCUGUGAAUAUGCUGCCAGAGAGAAGGCGAAGGUUUACACAAAAUUCGUUUCUCCAAUCAAUGGUUUUAUUCCUUUCGUAUUUAUGGUUUGUUGUGUGACUGUAGUUCACUGGUAAAGACGUAAAAGUUGGAACAACAUCAGUUUAAGGGAGCCUCUCUCGCUUUGAUCAAAGAAGCCAGACAUGAUUGUCUUCGACAACAAGGUUCUUAUUCGAGAGUCAUUCACAAAGAGAAGCAAAACAUGACCCGUGCGGUUACUGAUGCCACGAUACACCAUUAGCUCAAUUUGCGACAGCCGACAGGAAAAAACAGUAAAAGCUGGUAAAUAUGGAAACCAAAGUGGCACGAAAAACUGCCUGUAUUUAGCAAGAUGAUGUACGUAAGGGAAAAUUUGUGUCAUCAGGAGAAAUGAAACUGCAUGUCCAUAGAGAAAAUUAAGCCUGGAGGUAACAUCCUGGAUAAACUGAAAGAGUUUUCUCUUUUGAAAUAUCAUGGAAAUCAUGCUGGCCAUGGUAGCAGAUCUUGCUCCAGAAUUCCAACUCUUGCACCACAAGAUCGCAAAUAUGUUAAUCAUCUUCGAAGUGGCGGUCAUGAUCGUACACUUACUGUUGUGGAUUUAGCUGACAAGCCUGAACCGUCUGCUCCUAAAAUUAUCCCUAAGUGCAUGGUAAUUAAUGCUCGAUCUCUCGCUAAACCAGAAGCAGCUUUGGCUCUUCACAUAGAGCUCCAUUCUAAUAAUAUUGACAUCUGCUUUGUCUCUGAAAUGUGCCUCAGUGUGAGUUUUCACUGUAAACUUGGACUGGGAAUUCCUAAAAAUUCCUAGGAAUUCCCAACUGAAACAACUCUGGUUCUAAAAACCUAGAAAUUCCCAAAAAUUCUGCAUUUAUUGCCAGCAGGACUUGAAAUUCCUAGGAAUUCUUACGAAUUCCAACUCAGAACACCAAUGAUUUUACUGAAAGACUGUAAAUCUAAAAGCUUGCCAGAAAUUCCUGGGAAUUUUUAGGAAUUUCUCUGAAUGUUUAAGAAUUACUGGGAAUUUUAGGAAAUCUGAGGCAACUAACAUCAAAUGAAGAUUAACUGCCAACUAAAAGUUCAAGCAGUCAAUGAAAUUGAUUUGCAUGCUUAACUCAGUUUUACAUGUAAAUUAUUUGUUACUGUAUAUUAACAUCAACAUGUUGUAAUGGUAAUGGUAAAGGUAAAGUCUGUUUUCAAGCCUCGUGGCCCAUUAGGCCAAUGCUUAACUCCAGUUUCUGUAGCAUGAAGCAACUAGGAGUAUUGCUACUCCCCCCUGGAUGGGAUGCCAGUCCA
Molecule: long non-coding RNA, 1382 nt
Organism: Stylophora pistillata
Lineage: Eukaryota; Metazoa; Cnidaria; Anthozoa; Scleractinia; Pocilloporidae
Source: RefSeq, a predicted model, not a curated record